CGUAGGUGGCAAGCGUUGUCCGGAAUUAUUGGGCGUAAAGCGCGCGCAGGCGGUUCCUUAAGUCUGAUGUGAAAGCCCCCGGCUCAACCGGGGAAGGUCAUUGGAAACUGGGGAACUUGAGUGCAGAAGAGAAGAGCGGAAUUCCACGUGUAGCGGUGAAAUGCGUAGAGAUGUGGAGGAACACCAGUGGCGAAGGCGGCUCUUUGGUCUGUAACUGACGCUGAGGCGCGAAAGCGUGGGGAGCAAGCAAGAUUAGAUACCCUGGUAGUCCACGCCGUAAACGAUGAGUGCUAAGUGUUAGAGGGUUUCCGCCCUUUAGUGCUGCAGCUAACGCAUUAAGCACUCCGCCUGGGGAGUACGGCCGCAAGGCUG
This 372-nucleotide ribosomal RNA is filed under the name uncultured organism. RNAcentral describes it as "bacterial SSU rRNA". It matches the Rfam family "Bacterial small subunit ribosomal RNA", at positions 526 to 896 of the family's 1533-position model. The record is from RNAcentral.